RNAcentral lists this ribosomal RNA (246 nucleotides) under uncultured bacterium. RNAcentral's name for it is "partial 16S ribosomal RNA". It matches the Rfam family "Bacterial small subunit ribosomal RNA", at positions 63 to 339 of the family's 1533-position model. The record is from RNAcentral.
CGAGCGCCCCGCAAGGGGAGCGGCAGACGGGUGAGUAACACGUGGGAACGUACCCUUUUCUACGGAAUAACCCAGGGAAACUUGGACUAAUACCGUAUGUGCCCUUCGGGGGAAAGAUUUAUCGGAAAAGGAUCGGCCCGCGUUGGAUUAGCUAGUUGGUGGGGUAAAGGCCUACCAAGGCGACGAUCCAUAGCUGGUCUGAGAGGAUGAUCAGCCACAUUGGGACUGAGACACGGCCCAAACUCC